GGAAUAUUGGGCAAUGGGAGGAAUCCUGACCCAGCGACGCCGCGUGAACGAAGACGGCCCUCGGGUUGUAAAGUUCUUUUAUGUGGGAAGAAGGAAGUGACGGUACCACAUGAAUAAGCCCCGGCUAACUACGUGCCAGCAGCCGCGGUAAUACGUAGGGGGCGAGCGUUGUCCGGAAUUACUGGGCGUAAAGGGCACGCAGGCUGUGAUUCAAGUCAGCUGUAAAAGGAUGCGGCUUAACCGUGUUUAGCAGUUGAAACUGGAUGACUGGAGUGCUGGAGAGGCAAGUGGAAUUCCCAGUGUAGCGGUGAAAUGCGUAGAUAUUGGGAAGAACAUCGGUGGCGAAGGCGACUUGCUGGCCAGUAACUGACGCUGAGGUGCGAAAGCCAGGGUAGCAAACGGGAUUAGAUACCCCGGUAGUCCUGGCUGUAAACGAUGAAUGCUAGGUGUGCGAGCAGAGAUGUUGGUGUGCCGCAGUUAACGCGAUAAGCAUUCCGCCUGGGGAGUACGGUCGCAAGAUUGAAACUCAAAGGAAUUGACGGGGGCCCGCACAAGCGGUGGAGCACGUGGUUUAAUUCGAUGCAAACCGAAGAAC
RNAcentral lists this ribosomal RNA (595 nucleotides) under uncultured bacterium. RNAcentral's name for it is "bacterial SSU rRNA". It matches the Rfam family "Bacterial small subunit ribosomal RNA", at positions 358 to 969 of the family's 1533-position model. The record is from RNAcentral.